UCGCUGGCUCGCUCGCCGGCUCGCCCAUGCACAGCUCGCUCGCGCGCGCAGUCUAUGCGGCCGGAAGGUUUUGGGCGAAAGGGAAUCCGGUUCUUAUUCCGGAACCUCCACCCGGAGACGGUGUUACCCCUCGCCUAAAGGUACUCCUGGCGACAGGAGGAAACCUGCUGCUGCCGGCCGCGGUCCAGGGAAGAGUUUUCUUUUCUGCUUAAGAGGUCUUGGCCCUGGAAGCUACUUGCAAGGCGAGAGGGCCUUAUCAAACCCGUAGAGCGUGCGCAGUUCUU
This 284-nucleotide ribosomal RNA is filed under the name Chorisquilla hystrix. Its description in RNAcentral is "partial 28S ribosomal RNA". It matches the Rfam family "Eukaryotic large subunit ribosomal RNA", at positions 1560 to 1777 of the family's 3401-position model. The record is from RNAcentral. Lineage: Eukaryota; Metazoa; Arthropoda; Malacostraca; Stomatopoda; Protosquillidae.